This 492-nucleotide ribosomal RNA is filed under the name uncultured bacterium. Its description in RNAcentral is "partial 16S ribosomal RNA". It matches the Rfam family "Bacterial small subunit ribosomal RNA", at positions 29 to 507 of the family's 1533-position model. The record is from RNAcentral.
AGUGAACGCUGGCGGCAGGCCUAACACAUGCAAGUCGAACGGCAGCACAGUAAGAGCUUGCUCUUACGGGUGGCGAGUGGCGGACGGGUGAGGAAUACAUCGGAAUCUACUUUUUCGUGGGGGAUAACGUAGGGAAACUUACGCUAAUACCGCAUACGACCUACGGGUGAAAGCAGGGGAUCUUCGGACCUUGCGCGAUUGAAUGAGCCGAUGUCGGAUUAGCUAGUUGGCGGGGUAAAGGCCCACCAAGGCGACGAUCCGUAGCUGGUCUGAGAGGAUGAUCAGCCACACUGGAACUGAGACACGGUCCAGACUCCUACGGGAGGCAGCAGUGGGGAAUAUUGGACAAUGGGCGCAAGCCUGAUCCAGCCAUACCGCGUGGGUGAAGAAGGCCUUCGGGUUGUAAAGCCCUUUUGUUGGGAAAGAAGGGCAGCAGGUUAAUACCCCGCUGUUCUGACGGUACCCAAAGAAUAAGCACCGGCUAACUUCGUG